This 468-nucleotide ribosomal RNA is filed under the name uncultured bacterium. RNAcentral's name for it is "partial 16S ribosomal RNA". It matches the Rfam family "Bacterial small subunit ribosomal RNA", at positions 28 to 507 of the family's 1533-position model. The record is from RNAcentral.
GACGAACGCUGGCGGCGUGCUUAACACAUGCAAGUCGAACGGAAAGGCCCUGCUUUUGUGGGGUGCUCGAGUGGCGAACGGGUGAGUAACACGUGAGUAACCUGCCCUUGACUUUGGGAUAACUUCAGGAAACUGGGGCUGAUACCGGAUAGGAGCUCCUGCUGCAUGGUGGGGGUUGGAAAGUUUCGGCGGUUGGGGAUGGACUCGCGGCUUAUCAGCUUGUUGGUGGGGUAGUGGCUUUCCAAGGCUUUGACGGGUAGCCGGCCUGAGAGGGUGACCGGCCACAUUGGGACUGAGAUACGGCCCAGACUCCUACGGGAGGCAGCAGUGGGGAAUAUUGCACAAUGGGCGGAAGCCUGAUGCAGCAACGCCGCGUGCGGGAUGACGGCCUUCGGGUUGUAAACCGCUUUCGCCUGUGACGAAGCGUGAGUGACGGUAAUGGGUAAAGAAGCACCGGCUAACUACGUG